UGAGGUGUGCCCCUCCGUCCUGAACACACCCAAUCUCAUUUCAUCUCAGCAGCUAAGCAGGGUCGGGCCUGGUUAGUACUUGAGACCAGGUGAUUUCUAAU
Molecule: ribosomal RNA, 101 nt
Filed under: Carlito syrichta (Philippine tarsier)
Lineage: Eukaryota; Metazoa; Chordata; Mammalia; Primates; Tarsiidae
Source: RNAcentral